CGAUCUCUUUUUCCUCUUUAAGGAAGGUGCCUGCAGCCCCUGUUUACAUACUCCACGUCACCUUCUCAGCUCCAUGACCUUCGUGAAACUCCAGCAACUAUACGACAUCAGGCAGGGGGGUGGAGGGGAGCCAGCGGAGGAGUUUUUCCAGGCGUGUCCUACUGGGCGAAGUCCCCUGGCUGACCCAGGAUGCGCUGGAGGGAUCGGACCUCCCAGGUGGCUCGGGAAUGCCUGGAGAUCCCCCCAGACCCACUGUACAUCCCUCCAGCAGGACCGAAGUACUGGCCCAGGAAAAUGGCAUUUGGCCCCCACCCUCAGAGAGUUAUAAAGUCUUCCCACUGCAUGUCACGUGGCGUGUGCCACACCCCCGGCACAGACGCAUGACACCCUGAUGGGCAACCUGACACCCUGAUGGGCAACCUGUCACCCUGAUGGGCAACCUGACACCCUGAUGGGCAACCUGACACCCUGAUGGGCAACCUGACACCCUGAUAGGCAACCUGACACCCUAAUGGGCAACCUCCCGCAGGAGCAGCCUCUGCGGCCAAAUCACCGCCGGGAACAGCAUCCUCAUUUCUGCUGGUGAAUCGUACUUCCUGGCACUAGAUCCAUGCUCACUGUCUCCCCUACUGGAUGAAAAGAUCUGCAUCACGAUGCUGUCACUAUGCUGUUUAAGGAAGCCAGCCGAAGUGGCAGCAGCUCCUGUUCACUUGAGCCACAUCCUGGGUGAAGCAUCGUACUGCCGGGAGUUGAAUGAAGUUACCCACGGUUUGUGAGACCCGUCCCACUUCACUGAUAUGGGUAAAGAUCCCUUCCUGAACCUGUACAUUGCCUUUUUUAGUACCAUUUUUUAGGGAAUGAGCUUAGAAGUAAUGAAUAACGCAAAGUGCAAGGGCAGAUCAUUUCUGAAGUGCAGUAGGGCAGUAUUCCAUUUGAUUCUGAUUAAUUCCAUCACAGAAAUCUUUGAUAUGCUUUUUUUGUCCAAUUGCAAGACAGAAUGAAACUUGGAAUUUCCGAACUGAA
Long non-coding RNA from Paramormyrops kingsleyae, 1023 nucleotides. RefSeq lists it as uncharacterized. Lineage: Eukaryota; Metazoa; Chordata; Actinopteri; Osteoglossiformes; Mormyridae. The record is from RefSeq and is a predicted model, not a curated record.